RNAcentral lists this ribosomal RNA (495 nucleotides) under uncultured bacterium. RNAcentral describes it as "partial 16S ribosomal RNA". It matches the Rfam family "Bacterial small subunit ribosomal RNA", at positions 28 to 507 of the family's 1533-position model. The record is from RNAcentral.
GACGAACGCUGGCGGCGUGCCUAAUACAUGCAAGUAGAACGCUGAAGGAGGAGCUUGCUUCUCUGGAUGAGUUGCGAACGGGUGAGUAACGCGUAGGUAACCUGCCUGGUAGCGGGGGAUAACUAUUGGAAACGAUAGCUAAUACCGCAUAACAGUAGAUAUCGCAUGAUAUCUACUUGAAAGGUGCAAUUGCAUCACUACCAGAUGGACCUGCGUUGUAUUAGCUAGUUGGUGAGGUAACGGCUCACCAAGGCGACGAUACAUAGCCGACCUGAGAGGGUGAUCGGCCACCCUGGGACUGAGACACGGCCCAGACUCCUACGGGAGGCAGCAGUAGGGAAUCUUCGGCAAUGGACGGAAGUCUGACCGAGCAACGCCGCGUGAGUGAAGAAGGUUUUCGGAUCGGAAAGCUCUGUUGUAAGAGAAGAAAGAGUGUGAGAGUGGAAAGUUCACACUGUGACGGUAUCUUACCAGAAAGGGACGGCUAACUACGUG